Molecule: non-coding RNA, 62 nt
Filed under: Desulfomicrobium orale DSM 12838
Lineage: Bacteria; Pseudomonadati; Thermodesulfobacteriota; Desulfovibrionia; Desulfovibrionales; Desulfomicrobiaceae
Source: RNAcentral
AGGCGAAACGCUCUGAGCGUCUCUGCGGCGUGGUGGCCGCGGACUGAUGAUGCCAGCCGCAU